CAGUCGCCGCGGGAAUACGUAGGGUGCGAGCGUUAAUCGGAAUUACUGGGCGUAAAGCGUGCGCAGUCGGUUGUGUAAGACAGCUGUGAAAUCCCCGGGCUUAACCUGGGAACUGCGCUUGUGACUGCACAGCUAGAGUAUGGCAGAGGGGGGCGGAAUUCCACGUGUAGCAGUGAAAUGCGUAGAUAUUAGGAAGAACACCAACGGCGAAUGCACUCUGCUGGGCCGACACUGACGCUGAGAGACGAAAGCUAGGGGAGCAAAUGGGAUUAGAUACCCCGGUAGUCCCUGUCUCUUAUAC
RNAcentral lists this ribosomal RNA (301 nucleotides) under uncultured bacterium. Its description in RNAcentral is "partial 16S ribosomal RNA". It matches the Rfam family "Bacterial small subunit ribosomal RNA", at positions 509 to 807 of the family's 1533-position model. The record is from RNAcentral.